GAUUUAGUCUAACAUUCUUAAGUGAUUAGAAAUUUUUGUAUAGUAUAGUAUUAUAUCAUUAAUACCCCAUAUAUAAUUAUAAUAAUAAGUUUAAAAUAGUCCAUUGUUUCAUAUAAAUUAAUGAGUUUUGAUUUUAAUUCCUGUAUUUUUUCUUUUAGUUUUUGUUUGAGUCUCUAUAUCUCAUUUUUUAUGUUGAUUUUAG
Molecule: long non-coding RNA, 202 nt
Filed under: Lathyrus oleraceus (garden pea)
Lineage: Eukaryota; Viridiplantae; Streptophyta; Magnoliopsida; Fabales; Fabaceae
Description: Pisum sativum (pea) long non-coding RNA (PSAT_LNC028406)
Source: RNAcentral